GGAGUUGGCUGGGCGGCGGCCUCCCGUAAGGGGGGAGGAAAGUCCGGACUUCACAGAGCAAGGCGCCCGGUAAGAGCUCGCUCAAGCCGGGGCGGGGCGACCCGACGGAAAGUGCAACAGAAACAAACCGCCGGCCUUCGGGCCGGUAAGGGUGAAAUGGUGAGGUAAGAGCUCACCGGCGGUAGGGGUAACCCACCGGCCGUGCAAACCCCGCCUGAAGCAAGGCCAAAUAGGGAGGGGAUGACGCGGCUCGCCGACCCUCCGGGUUGGCCGCGUAGACAAAUCGUCGUCCACGACAGAAUCCGGCUUAUAGGCCGACUCCACGA
Molecule: RNase P RNA, 326 nt
Filed under: Fimbriimonas ginsengisoli Gsoil 348
Lineage: Bacteria; Bacillati; Armatimonadota; Fimbriimonadia; Fimbriimonadales; Fimbriimonadaceae
Description: Bacterial RNase P class A
Rfam family: Bacterial RNase P class A
About the family: Ribonuclease P (RNase P) is a ubiquitous endoribonuclease, found in archaea, bacteria and eukarya as well as chloroplasts and mitochondria. Its best characterised activity is the generation of mature 5'-ends of tRNAs by cleaving the 5'-leader elements of precursor-tRNAs.
Source: Rfam by way of RNAcentral